Molecule: unclassified non-coding RNA, 425 nt
Filed under: Hevea brasiliensis (rubber tree)
Lineage: Eukaryota; Viridiplantae; Streptophyta; Magnoliopsida; Malpighiales; Euphorbiaceae
Source: RNAcentral
GGGGUGUAAAGAGAAAGAGAAACAAUGCUUGUGAGUCGGCCUCUUUCCUUAUUUAGAAGGUCGCCGAGCAGGCUUUCGAUGCCGGUGGCCGCGACGGAGGGCCCGUUUUCGGGGGUUUUUGUGGUGAAAGAUGAGGAAGCCGAGGCCGAGGAUUCGUUCUGUUGGGGAAUUUGCAGGCGGAGGAGAAUCAAGAAGCCGCCAUUUCCACAAGAUAGGAUCUUGACCAUUGUUCAUAGCUCUUCUCAAUAUGAAGAAACUAAGUCCACUAAAGUUUGGUUGCUCCCUGUUCUUGAUCGUCCUCUUUCUUCUAAUCGUUACUAUCUUAUCAAAGCUCAAGGCAAACAUAAAGGGAAAGCAUACAAAUGCUCGAGAGAAGACGAGAUAACAACAUGUUGCUUUGGGGAUGUUUUGAGCGACAAGAAGCC